CAGCAGGUUAGUAGCAAGUACAGAUGCUGGCGACCGGCAAACGGGUGCGGAACACGUACAGAACCUUCCUUUGAGCGGGGAAUAGCCCAGAGAAUUUGGAUUAAUACCCCAUAGUAUAAUGAAUGGCAUCACUUAUUAUUAAAGAUUUAUCACUCGAAGAUGGCUGUGCGGCUGAUUAGGUAGUUGGCGGGGUAAAGGCCCACCAAGCCUGCGAUCAGUAACUGGUGUGAGAGCACGACCAGUCACACGGGCACUGAGACACGGGCCCGACUCCUACGGGAGGCAGCAGUAAGGAAUAUUGGUCAAUGGAGGCAACUCUGAACCAGCCAUGCCGCGUGGAGGAUGAAGGCCCUCUGGAUUGUAAACUUCUUUUAUAUGGGACGAAAAAAGGCUUUUCUAAGUCGUCUGACGGUACCAUAUGAAUAAGCACCGGCUAACUCCGUG
This 444-nucleotide ribosomal RNA is filed under the name uncultured bacterium. RNAcentral describes it as "bacterial SSU rRNA". It matches the Rfam family "Bacterial small subunit ribosomal RNA", at positions 55 to 507 of the family's 1533-position model. The record is from RNAcentral.